Long non-coding RNA from Carya illinoinensis, 706 nucleotides. RefSeq lists it as uncharacterized. The record is from RefSeq and is a predicted model, not a curated record. Lineage: Eukaryota; Viridiplantae; Streptophyta; Magnoliopsida; Fagales; Juglandaceae. The transcript has 2 exons.
AUCCAGGUGCAAAUGUACUUUGGCUCCUCCCUUGUGCUUCUGUGGGGUUGAAGCUAUAUUGAGAUACUCAAAAACUAAGGCAAAUCCAGGAUGACCCUUCUUAGGGUGUCCUAAGUACAACACAAAGGGAUUACCAUACUGUGACUAUUUCAAGUGGGAAGAUAAUAAUGAAUACAUAGAUCUACAAGAAAGAAAAAAUGAGCUGUUAAGGAAGGAGGAAGAGCGUGAGAAGAGACUCAACGAUGUCGAAAAGAGGGAGACUGUGCUCCAUAAGAUAUUGGAUGAAAUCGAGAAGAGAGAGAUGUGCUAUCCAGUGGAAAUGAGAAGGUUCCAAAAAUGGAGUUGAUGCUUCUUGAGAGAGAAUCUGUCCUAAGGCGUUCAUGCACGCUACCCUGGGUGUAUUGGGGUUUUGUAUUUGUUGUUUGUUGUUAUUUAUUGACUUGGUAGUGGCUUAUGUUACAUCUUAGUUGAGUUUGUAGUUUAAGUGUUAUAAGUUAUUUAGUUAUGCCGUUUGUAUAAUUAAGUGUUGUAAUUAUUUAGAGAACUGAUUUGUACUGUUUGUUCUGAAUGGGUUAUGGUUUGUGUUAGUUGAAUCUGUAGUUUAAGUGUUAUAAGUUAUUUAGUUAUUAGAUUCGUAUAUUUAAGUGUUGUAAAUAUUUAGAGAAGUGAUUUGUAGUUUAGUAUGAAUGGGUAGUGGUUUUGCGCA